This 75-nucleotide transfer RNA is filed under the name Candidatus Levybacteria bacterium RIFCSPHIGHO2_02_FULL_37_13. RNAcentral's name for it is "tRNA-Ile". It matches the Rfam family "tRNA". From Rfam's summary of the family: Transfer RNA (tRNA) molecules are approximately 80 nucleotides in length. Their secondary structure includes four short double-helical elements and three loops (D, anti-codon, and T loops). Lineage: Bacteria; Candidatus Levyibacteriota. The record is from RNAcentral.
GCGCCCGUAGCUCAGCGGAAGAGCGGUUGUCUUAUAAACAACAGGUGCUUGGAUCGUCCCCAAGCGGGCGCACCU